This 429-nucleotide ribosomal RNA is filed under the name Gemmatimonadota bacterium. Its description in RNAcentral is "Gemmatimonadetes bacterium partial 16S ribosomal RNA". It matches the Rfam family "Bacterial small subunit ribosomal RNA", at positions 355 to 776 of the family's 1533-position model. Lineage: Bacteria; Pseudomonadati; Gemmatimonadota. The record is from RNAcentral.
UAGGGAAUCUUCGGCAAUGGACGAAAGUCUGACCGAGCAACGCCGCGUGAGUGAAGAAGGUUUUCGGAUCGUAAAACUCUGUUGUGAGAGAAGAACAAGGACGUUAGUAACUGAACGUCCCCUGACGGUAUCUAACCAGAAAGCCACGGCUAACUACGUGCCAGCAGCCGCGGUAAUACGUAGGUGGCAAGCGUUGUCCGGAUUUAUUGGGCGUAAAGCGAGCGCAGGCGGUUUCUUAAGUCUGAUGUGAAAGCCCCCGGCUCAACCGGGGAGGGUCAUUGGAAACUGGGAGACUUGAGUGCAGAAGAGGAGAGUGGAAUUCCAUGUGUAGCGGUGAAAUGCGUAGAUAUAUGGGGGAACACCAGUGGCGAAGGCGGCUCUCUGGUCUGUAACUGACGCUGAGGCUCGAAAGCGUGGGGAGCAAACAGG